GUGAGGAAUAUUGGUCAAUGGGCGAGAGCCUGAACCAGCCAAGUAGCGUGAGGGAAGACUGCCCUAUGGGUUGUAAACCUCUUUUGAUUGGGAACAAAGAGCGCCACGUGUGGUGCGUUGCGUGUACCUUUCGAAUAAGCAUCGGCUAAUUCCGUGCCAGCAGCCGCGGUAAUACGGAAGAUGCGAGCGUUAUCCGGAUUUAUUGGGUUUAAAGGGAGCGUAGGCGGGCUGUUAAGUCAGCGGUCAAAUGUCAGGGCCCAACCUUGGCAUGCCGUUGAUACUGGCGGCCUUGAGUUCACACAAGGAAGGUGGAAUUCGUCGUGUAGCGGUGAAAUGCUUAGAUAUGACGAAGAACUCCGAUUGCGAAGGCAGCCUUCUGGGGUGUUACUGACGCUGAGGCUCGAAAGUGCGGGAAUCAAACAGGAUUAGAAACCCUAGUAGUCC
RNAcentral lists this ribosomal RNA (444 nucleotides) under uncultured bacterium. RNAcentral describes it as "bacterial SSU rRNA". It matches the Rfam family "Bacterial small subunit ribosomal RNA", at positions 354 to 796 of the family's 1533-position model. The record is from RNAcentral.